This 75-nucleotide transfer RNA is filed under the name Lyginia barbata. Its description in RNAcentral is "partial tRNA-Leu". It matches the Rfam family "tRNA", at positions 11 to 71 of the family's 71-position model. Rfam says of the family: Transfer RNA (tRNA) molecules are approximately 80 nucleotides in length. Their secondary structure includes four short double-helical elements and three loops (D, anti-codon, and T loops). Lineage: Eukaryota; Viridiplantae; Streptophyta; Magnoliopsida; Poales; Restionaceae. The record is from RNAcentral.
CGAAAUUGGUAGACGCUACGGACUUAAAAUCCGUCGACUUUAGAAUCGUGAGGGUUCAAGUCCUCUAUCCCCAAU